Long non-coding RNA from Symphalangus syndactylus (siamang), 953 nucleotides. RefSeq lists it as uncharacterized. Lineage: Eukaryota; Metazoa; Chordata; Mammalia; Primates; Hylobatidae. The record is from RefSeq and is a predicted model, not a curated record.
UUAGAGAUGGAGUUUCACUCUGUCCCCCAGGCUGGAGUGCAGUGGUGUGAUCUUGGCUCACUGCAACCUCUGCCUCCCCGGUUCCAGGGAUUCUCCUGCCUCAGCCUCCCAAGUAGCUGGGAUUACAGGUGCCCGCCACCUUGCCCAGACAGGGUCUCCUUCUGUUGCCCAGGCUGGAGUACUACAGUGCCAUCUUGGCUCACUCCAGCCUCAACCUUCUGGGCUCAAGCAAUCCUCCCACAUCAACCUCCUGAAUAGCUGGGACUACAGGUGUGCACCAUCAUGCCUGAAUAAAUGUUUUAAUUUUUUGUAGAGAUGGAGUCUCACCACCUUGCUCAGGCUGGUCUCAAACUCCUGGGCUCAAGUGAUCCUCCUGCCUUGGCUUCCCAAGUUGCUGAAAUUACAGGCAUGAGCCACCACACCCCUAGCCCACAUAUAUAUUACAAUAUGAUCUCAUCUUCAUAUAUACAUUUUGGGAACACUGUUGGGGUCACAAAGAAAAAAAAUAAACUUGCACCCUGACCUUCCAGAGCUCAUGAUUCUUACAGAUGGUCUUCUAUGACCCCCUUUUCAUGAAGGUCCACAGUGAUGUUCCUGGAAGGCCUGAAUCCUCUGCAGACAGGUUCAUCUCCUUGUGCUCUUACCAGUUAUAGAUGUAUUUUGGACCUUGCCUUUAUCUUGAACUACAAUUAUGUAUUACAGCCCACAGUCCAGGAUGGCUCCUUCAUCUCUUUCUGUCAACACUACAUAUUCACAUAAGACGGCUGUAGUUUCUUUUUAUCCCUUUGUGUUACUCCCUUAAACUUGUCCUGUUUGAACUCUAUUCUAUGGUUCUUACCACUCACCCAGUUUACCAAAAUCACUCACUUAGGUCAGAGGUCAACAAACUGUGGCUCCCAGGUACAAAUCUAGCCUGCCACCUGUUUGUGUAAAUAAAGUUUCAUCACAAUACA